RNAcentral lists this ribosomal RNA (274 nucleotides) under uncultured bacterium. RNAcentral's name for it is "partial 16S ribosomal RNA". It matches the Rfam family "Bacterial small subunit ribosomal RNA", at positions 523 to 796 of the family's 1533-position model. The record is from RNAcentral.
AUACGGAGGGUGCGAGCGUUAAUCGGAAUUACUGGGCGUAAAGCGUACGUAGGCGGUUGGUUAAGUUAGAUGUGAAAGCCCCGGGCUUAACCUGGGAACUGCAUUUAAAACUGGCGAACUAGAGUUGAGUAGAGGGGAGUGGAAUUUCAGGUGUAGCGGUGAAAUGCGUAGAGAUCUGAAGGAACACCAGUGGCGAAGGCGGCUCCCUGGACUCAAACUGACGCUGAGGUACGAAAGCGUGGGUAGCAAACGGGAUUAGAAACCCUAGUAGUCC